This 532-nucleotide long non-coding RNA is filed under the name Monodelphis domestica (gray short-tailed opossum). RNAcentral's name for it is "lncRNA (ENSMODG00000033917.2)". The record is from RNAcentral. Lineage: Eukaryota; Metazoa; Chordata; Mammalia; Didelphimorphia; Didelphidae.
CUCUGGCUCUCCUCUGGACUGAACAUCCAAUGCUCUGCUAAUCCCUAUGACAGCUACAUAAUUCAAAUUUGUGUCUGCUGGCAAAUUAAUAGGAAUUCUGAUUAAAGGAAAUCCUUGACUCCUAUAGGUUAGAUUCAAGAGAUAUCUUUACUACAUAGUGAGUGGGAAAGUUAUGGACUAGAAAGAGGACCACAGUUUAGAUGACCCAAAAUUAUUGAAAUUCUCUAGCCACAGGCACUCCAACAAAACCAAGCCUUUUGGCUCAGGAUGGCAUCGGAGAAGUAUACAUGGGUGUCCGACAUCACAGAAAUUUGAUGAAAGUUACUGAAGAUGGGAAUGGUAGACAAGUAACUACAGUAACUGCCAGAAAGAUGCGCAGGAGAAUUCUAGAGGUGGAGCCAAGAUGGUGGAGUAGAAGGCAGCAAAAAGGAAGCACUAUGAGAAUCCUCUCCAACAAAACCUAAAAUAAGACCUAAAAAUGACGACUGGAGAAAAGAAACAAGAGGAAGAAAUAAAGUAACGUUCAUGCACA